ACACGUGGGCAACCUGCCCUGUAGACUGGGAUAACUUCGGGAAACCGAAGCUAAUACCGGAUAAUCUUUGGAGCCGCAUGGUUCUAAAGUAAAAGUUGGGUUUACCUAACACUACAGGAUGGGCCCGCGUCGCAUUAGCUAGUUGGUAAGGUAACGGCUUACCAAGGCGACGAUGCGUAGCCGACCUGAGAGGGUGAUCGGCCACACUGGGACUGAGACACGGCCCAGACUCCUACGGGAGGCAGCAGUAGGGAAUCUUCCGCAAUGGACGAAAGUCUGACGGAGCAACGCCGCGUGAGCGAUGAAGGCCUUCGGGUCGUAAAGCUCUGUUGUUAGGGAAGAACAAGUGCCAUUCAAAUAGGGUGGCACCUUGACGGUACCUAACGAGAAAGCCACGGCUAACUACGUGCCAGCAGCCGCGGUAAUACGUAGGUGGCAAGCGUUGUCCGGAAUUAUUGGGCGUAAAGCGCGCGCAGGCGGUAUCUUAAGUCUGAUGUGAAAGCCCACGGCUCAACCGUGGAGGGUCAUUGGAAACUGGGAUACUUGAGUACAGAAGAGGAGAGUGGAAUUCCAUGUGUAGCGGUGAAAUGCGUAGA
RNAcentral lists this ribosomal RNA (596 nucleotides) under uncultured Anaerobacillus sp. RNAcentral's name for it is "bacterial SSU rRNA". It matches the Rfam family "Bacterial small subunit ribosomal RNA", at positions 113 to 694 of the family's 1533-position model. Lineage: Bacteria; Bacillati; Bacillota; Bacilli; Caryophanales; Bacillaceae. The record is from RNAcentral.